RNAcentral lists this long non-coding RNA (379 nucleotides) under Malus domestica (apple). RNAcentral's name for it is "long non-coding RNA (MDOM_LNC017185)". The record is from RNAcentral. Lineage: Eukaryota; Viridiplantae; Streptophyta; Magnoliopsida; Rosales; Rosaceae.
ACCAUGGCCAUAGUAAGCAUGACAGCCACGUUCAUAGCCACCACCAUGACCAACAUGAUCAUGCCCACCAACAUCAUCACCAUGACCAUGCCCACCAGCAUGAACAUCAUGACCAUGCCCACCAGCACGAACACCAUGACCAUGCCCACCUGCACGAACACCAUGACCAUGCCCACCAGCACGAACACCAUGACCAUGCCCACCAGCACGAACACCAUGACCACGCCCACACUCAUGGAAGCUUACCCCAUCAAGUGGCGGAAUCUCACAUUCAAGAAGCAGGUUUCCAUAGCCAUAAACAGCCAAUUGAUGGAGAAAAAUCAGCUAAGCAUCAACAUCGCCACAUUGACCACAACAUGGAAGGAAUAUUUUUGCACGU